This 434-nucleotide ribosomal RNA is filed under the name Ammonia sp. genotype T6. RNAcentral's name for it is "SSU rRNA". It matches the Rfam family "Eukaryotic small subunit ribosomal RNA", at positions 1185 to 1472 of the family's 1831-position model. The record is from RNAcentral. Lineage: Eukaryota; Foraminifera; Rotaliida; Rotaliidae.
GUGGCUUAAUUUGACUCAACGCGGGAAAUCUUACCGGGUCCGGACACACUGAGGAUUGACAGAUAUAUACCCCGUGAUUUUAUCGCGGGGUUGAAAGAUGCUAGUUCUUUCAUGAUUAUGUGAUAGGUGGUGCAUGGCCGUUCUUAGUUCGUGGAGUGAUCUGUCUGCUUAAUUGCGUAUCAAUAAUAGAGACCUAGUAUACGCGUAGACUCAUGCGGUAGUGACCCCCCUUCACAGGGCGCGUGUCGCACGUAUGUUAUACGCACAGGUCUCCGAUAGCAACGAACGUGACCGUACUCUAUUGUUGCAGCGACAAUACCUUUCAACGGGUAUUACCGCUGCUUAGCAAGAUUCGUCUUGCAUUAAACUAUAGAGACCGCUGUUUCUUCUUUAAACCAGAGGAAGGAUACGGCAAUAACAGGUCUGUGAUGCCC